GACGAACGCUGGCGGCGUGCUUAACACAUGCAAGUCGAACGCUGAAGCUUGGUGCUUGCACUGGGUGGAUGAGUGGCGAACGGGUGAGUAAUACGUGUGUAACCUGCCCUUGACUCUGGGAUAAGCCUGGGAAACUGGGUCUAAUACUGGAUACGACAUGUCACCGCAGGGUGGUGUGUGGAAAUGGGUUUAUUGGUUUUGGAUGGGCUCACGGCCUAUCAGCUUGUUGGUGGGGUAAUGGCUCACCAAGGCGACGACGGGUAGCCGGCCUGAGAGGGUGACCGGCCACACUGGGACUGAGACACGGCCCAGACUCCUACGGGAGGCAGCAGUGGGGAAUAUUGCACAAUGGGCGGAAGCCUGAUGCAGCGACGCCGCGUGAGGGAUGACGGCCUUCGGGUUGUAAACCUCUUUCAGCACGGAAGAAGCGAAAGUGACGGUACGUGCAGAAGAAGCGCCGGCUAACUACGUG
RNAcentral lists this ribosomal RNA (472 nucleotides) under uncultured bacterium. RNAcentral's name for it is "partial 16S ribosomal RNA". It matches the Rfam family "Bacterial small subunit ribosomal RNA", at positions 28 to 507 of the family's 1533-position model. The record is from RNAcentral.